Molecule: ribosomal RNA, 432 nt
Filed under: uncultured bacterium
Lineage: Bacteria
Description: partial 16S ribosomal RNA
Rfam family: Bacterial small subunit ribosomal RNA
Source: RNAcentral
CCUACGGGGGGCUGCAGUCGAGAAUUUUUCUCAAUGGGGGCAACCCUGAAGGAGCGACGCCGCGUGGAGGAUGAAUGGCUUCGGCUUGUAAACUCCUGUCAUUUGGGAACUAGUACCAGAAGAGGAAGAGACGGCUAACUCUGUGCCAGCAGCCGCGGUAAUACAGAGGUCUCAAGCGUUGUUCGGAUUCAUUGGGCGUAAAGGGUGCGUAGGUGGCGCCGUAAGUCAGGUGUGAAAUUUCGGAGCUUAACUCCGAAACUGCAUUUGAUACUGCGGUGCUUGAGGACUGGAGAGGAGACUGGAAUUUACGGUGUAGCAGUGAAAUGCGUAGAUAUCGUAAGGAAGACCAGUGGCGAAGGCGGGUCUCUGGACAGUCCUGACACUGAGGCACGAAGGCCAGGGGAGCAAACGGGAUUAGAUACCCUUGUAGUC